Molecule: ribosomal RNA, 453 nt
Filed under: uncultured Prevotellaceae bacterium
Lineage: Bacteria; Pseudomonadati; Bacteroidota; Bacteroidia; Bacteroidales; Prevotellaceae
Description: partial 16S ribosomal RNA
Rfam family: Bacterial small subunit ribosomal RNA
Source: RNAcentral
ACGGAAGGCAGCAGUGAGGAAUAUUGGUCAAUGGUCGGAAGACUGAACCAGCCAAGUAGCGUGAAGGAAGACUGCCCUACGGGUUGUAAACUUCUUUUAUGUGGGAAUAAAGUGCCCUACGUGUAGGGUUUUGUACGUACCACAUGAAUAAGCAUCGGCUAAUUCCGUGCCAGCAGCCGCGGUAAUACGGAAGAUGCGAGCGUUAUCCGGAUUUAUUGGGUUUAAAGGGAGCGUAGGCGGAGACUUAAGUCAGCGGUUAAAGCGUGUGGCUCAACCAUACCACGCCGUUGAUACUGGGUCCCUUGAGUGCACAUAAGGAUGGUGGAAUUCAUGGUGUAGCGGUGAAAUGCUUAGAUAUCAUGAAGAACUCCGAUUGCGAAGGCAGCUGUCCGGGGUGUAACUGACGCUAAUGCUCGAAAGUGCGGGUAUCAAACAGGAUUAGAUACCCUGGUA